This 568-nucleotide long non-coding RNA is filed under the name Mus caroli (Ryukyu mouse). RNAcentral's name for it is "predicted gene, 38258 (MGP_CAROLIEiJ_G0005588.1)". Lineage: Eukaryota; Metazoa; Chordata; Mammalia; Rodentia; Muridae. The record is from RNAcentral.
AGGUUUCAGUAAACCUCAACAGCAUCACCGUGCAGCUGAGUGGAUGUGCCUUCUGCUCUCUCUGCUGACUGUGGCUUUUUUCCAAGGUACAGACUUCAAUUAGCAGAAGAUGUUCUGGAUCCCGUGUACCGUGGGGCUGAGCUUCCCAGUGACCCCUGCACAGCAGCCAACACUGCAUGGCCGGAGUAAUUAAACAGAUUGUGGCUUCUUUCUCAAGUUCUUAUUAUAACUUCCCCUCAUCCGUAUUUAUCACCUUGCACAAAACUCAAGUCCAAGUGGAUCAAAAAUCUCAAUGUAAAAUCAGAUACACUGAAUCUAAUAGAAAAGAAACUAGGGAGUAGCCUUGAAAUCCUUGGCACAGGAGACAAUUUCCUGAACAGAAACACUAAUGGCUCGGGCACUAAAAGCAACUAUUAAUCAACGCCGCUCAUGAAACUGAAAAGCUUCUGUAAGUCAAAGGACACCAUCAAUAGGACAAGACAACAGCCUGCAAGCUGGGGAAUAAACUUCACCAACUGAACAUCAGACAGAGGGCUAAUAUCCAAAAUAUAUAAAGAAUUCAAGAAGU